GCAAACUUGGUCAUUUAGAGGAAGUAAAAGUCGUAACAAGGUUUCCGUAGGUGAACCUGCGGAAGGAUCAUUAUUGAUAAAGGAUGUGCUGGCAUUGGAGUUCUCUGAUGCAUUAAUGUGCACUCCGCACCUUCCCUUUCAAAUCCCUUAAUGUGCACCUUAAAAAAGACAGAUGAGGUUCUUUCAAAGAGGGGGCCUGUCUGCUUGCUUUUUUGCAAACACCUUUGAUAAUUUUGGUUGAUGGUUGGUUGUACAUAACCUAAUAAAACAACUUUCAACAAUGGAUCUCUUGGCUCUCGCAUCGAUGAAGAACGCAGC
This 318-nucleotide unclassified non-coding RNA is filed under the name uncultured fungus. RNAcentral describes it as "partial contains small subunit ribosomal RNA, internal transcribed spacer 1, and 5.8S ribosomal RNA". The stretch from base 1 to 73 matches the Rfam family "Eukaryotic small subunit ribosomal RNA", at positions 1759 to 1831 of the family's 1831-position model. The record is from RNAcentral. Lineage: Eukaryota; Fungi.